This 76-nucleotide transfer RNA is filed under the name Tissierellaceae bacterium. RNAcentral describes it as "tRNA-Ala". It matches the Rfam family "tRNA". From Rfam's summary of the family: Transfer RNA (tRNA) molecules are approximately 80 nucleotides in length. The record is from RNAcentral. Lineage: Bacteria; Bacillati; Bacillota; Tissierellia; Tissierellales; Tissierellaceae. RNAcentral also lists the same sequence under 5 other names.
GGGGGUGUAGCUCAGUUGGGAGAGCGCCUGCCUUGCAAGCAGGAGGUCAGGAGUUCGACUCUCCUCAUCUCCACCA